This 422-nucleotide ribosomal RNA is filed under the name uncultured Lachnospiraceae bacterium. Its description in RNAcentral is "bacterial SSU rRNA". It matches the Rfam family "Bacterial small subunit ribosomal RNA", at positions 355 to 792 of the family's 1533-position model. The record is from RNAcentral. Lineage: Bacteria; Bacillati; Bacillota; Clostridia; Lachnospirales; Lachnospiraceae.
UGGGGAAUAUUGCACAAUGGGGGGAAACCCUGAUGCAGCGACGCCGCGUGAGCGAAGAAGUAUUUCGGUAUGUAAAGCUCUAUCAGCAGGGAAGAUAAUGACGGUACCUGACUAAGAAGCUCCGGCUAAAUACGUGCCAGCAGCCGCGGUAAUACGUAUGGAGCAAGCGUUAUCCGGAUUUACUGGGGUGUAAAGGGAGCGUAGACGGCAGGGCAAGUCUGAUGUGAAAACCCGGGGCUCAACCCCGGGACUGCAUUGGAAACUGUCCGGCUGGAGUGCAGGAGGGGCAAGCGGAAUUCCUAGUGUAGCGGUGAAAUGCGUAGAUAUUAGGAGGAACACCGGUGGCGAAGGCGGCUUGCUGGACUGUAACUGACGUUGAGGCUCGAAAGCGUGGGGAGCAAACAGGAUUAGAUACCCUGGUA